AUAGGUUUUCUAUGAAAAAUAAAUAAGGUUGGCGACAAUGCCAAACGAAAUUCGCCAUUCAACAAUUUGCGCGCCAUUUCUCAGUAAAGGUUAUCAUUUUUUAGUUUUGUUUUAUAAAAUAGUAUUAAUAAACGGUAAAUAAAAUUAGUGCUACACUUAUUGGAGUAAAUUGUCGAGCAGAUGUAAUGAAUGAUCUAAAAAAUCUAAUGAAACACUCAUGGGCCCUAAAUCAUUAGGUUUGAAUAGUUUUGCCAUAGGGUCUGUUGGUAUUAAUUGGGUUGGAUGCAGCAGCUCUUUAUACUGGUUUUCUUUGAAGGAGUAGUACAAUUUGUUCUUUGGUUUCAACUGUUAAACUGAUAAACCAUCGACAAGAGUAAUAAAAUCUGGAAUGAUGACGAUAUUUAAAAUGGAAGAUCUAAGACUCAAUUUUAAUGAAGAGUGGACAGUCUGUAAAGAAGUAAGGAAACAACACAUAAUAUAUAUAACAUAACAUAAAAGAAUGAAAGAAGAAAGAAGAAAUUCAAAACAAUCGUAUCUCGAUAUGGAUAUAAAUCAUUAACAGAACUAAGGAAGGUACUUCGAAAUUAUAUUCAAUAAAGGCGUCCAGAUUUGCCAAUUCAAAUGUGAGAUCUGUUGAAGUAGUUACAACAAAACAGAUGCUUUAUUUUAAUUCUUUUGGACAUUUCUAAACCAUAUGUAGACCGAAUAUCUUGUACCCAAAGAUAAAUUUUCCUCUCACUUUCUUACCAACAUCUUUGGGCAUUGUUUAUUUAUAUGUAUAGAAGUUUCUAUACAUAUUCUAUUCUAUAUAAAAUUUUAGGUGUUUUUUUGGUAAAAUCGAUUGAAUUGAUCAAAAGACAAGGAGAUAAAAUACUAAGAAGACAUCACAUCACAGCCUUCUACACUCAGACAACUGAAAUUGCGAAUUUUGCUUAUUAAAUUUGUGUACAUCGAAUUACAAUUGAUAAUUGUCUUAUUAAGGUUUAUAACCUACUGCAUUUAAAAAAUUA
Long non-coding RNA from Aethina tumida (small hive beetle), 1010 nucleotides. RefSeq lists it as uncharacterized. The transcript has 5 exons. NCBI's taxonomy places the organism in Eukaryota, Metazoa, Arthropoda, Insecta, Coleoptera, Nitidulidae. The record is from RefSeq and is a predicted model, not a curated record.